This 253-nucleotide ribosomal RNA is filed under the name uncultured bacterium. Its description in RNAcentral is "partial 16S ribosomal RNA". It matches the Rfam family "Bacterial small subunit ribosomal RNA", at positions 524 to 776 of the family's 1533-position model. The record is from RNAcentral.
UACAGAGGUCCCAAGCGUUGUUCGGAUUCACUGGGCGUAAAGGGUGCGUAGGCGGUCGGGGAAGUCUGGCGUGAAAUCUCCAAGCCUAACUUGGAAACUGCGUUGGAUACUAUCCGGCUCGAGGAAUGGAGGGGAGACUGGAAUACUUGGUGUAGCAGUGAAAUGCGUAGAUAUCAAGUGGAACACCAGUGGCGAAGGCGAGUCUCUGGACAUUUCCUGACGCUGAGGCACGAAAGCCAGGGGAGCAAACGGG